This 426-nucleotide ribosomal RNA is filed under the name uncultured Azospira sp. RNAcentral's name for it is "bacterial SSU rRNA". It matches the Rfam family "Bacterial small subunit ribosomal RNA", at positions 356 to 774 of the family's 1533-position model. The record is from RNAcentral. Lineage: Bacteria; Pseudomonadati; Pseudomonadota; Betaproteobacteria; Rhodocyclales; Rhodocyclaceae.
GGGGAAUUUUGGACAAUGGGCGCAAGCCUGAUCCAGCAAUGCCGCGUGCAGGAUGAAGGCCUUCGGGUUGUAAACUGCUUUUGUACGGAACGAAAAGCCUCUCUCUAAUAUCCGUUGUUGAUGACGGUACCCGCAUAAGAAGCACCGGCUAACUACGUGCCAGCAGCCGCGGUAAUACGUAGGGUGCGAGCGUUAAUCGGAAUUACUGGGCGUAAAGCGUGCGCAGGCGGUUUCGUAAGACAGACGUGAAAUCCCCGGGCUCAACCUGGGAACUGCGUUUGUGACUGCGAGGCUAGAGUACGGCAGAGGGGGCUAGAAUUCCACGUGUAGCAGUGAAAUGCGUAGAGAUGUGGAGGAAUACCGAUGGCGAAGGCAGCCCCCUGGGUUAGUACUGACGCUCAUGCACGAAAGCGUGGGGAGCAAACA